UACGUAGGGGGCAAGCGUUGUCCGGAUUUACUGGGCGUAAAGAGCGUGUAGGCGGCUAAGCAGGUCCGUUGUGAAAACUGGAGGCUUAACCUCCAGACGUCGACGGAAACCGCGUGGCUAGAGUCCGGAAGAGGAGAGUGGAAUUCCUGGUGUAGCGGUGAAAUGCGCAGAUAUCAGGAAGAACACCAAUGGCGAAGGCAGCGCUCUGGGACGGGACUGACGCUGAGACGCGAAAGCGUGGGGAGCGAACAGG
Molecule: ribosomal RNA, 253 nt
Filed under: uncultured bacterium
Lineage: Bacteria
Description: partial 16S ribosomal RNA
Rfam family: Bacterial small subunit ribosomal RNA
Source: RNAcentral